UGGGGAAUAUUGCACAAUGGGCGCAAGCCUGAUGCAGCCAUGCCGCGUGUGUGAAGAAGGCCUUCGGGUUGUAAAGCACUUUCAGCGAGGAGGAAGGCAGUCGUGUUAAUAGCACGGUUGAUUGACGUUACUCGCAGAAGAAGCACCGGCUAACUCCGUGCCAGCAGCCGCGGUAAUACGGAGGGUGCAAGCGUUAAUCGGAAUUACUGGGCGUAAAGCGCACGCAGGCGGUUUGUUAAGUCAGAUGUGAAAUCCCCGCGCUUAACGUGGGAACUGCAUUUGAAACUGGCAAGCUAGAGUCUUGUAGAGGGGGGUAGAAUUCCAGGUGUAGCGGUGAAAUGCGUAGAGAUCUGGAGGAAUACCGGUGGCGAAGGCGGCCCCCUGGACAAAGACUGACGCUCAGGUGCGAAAGCGUGGGGAGCAAAACAGGAUUAGAUACCCUGGUAGUCCACGCUGUAAACGAUGUCGACUUGGAGGUUGUGCCCUUGAGGCGUGGCUUCCGGAGCUAACGCGUUAAGUCGACCGCCUGGGGGAGUACGGCCGCAAGGUUAAAAC
This 555-nucleotide ribosomal RNA is filed under the name uncultured bacterium. RNAcentral's name for it is "partial 16S ribosomal RNA". It matches the Rfam family "Bacterial small subunit ribosomal RNA", at positions 355 to 900 of the family's 1533-position model. The record is from RNAcentral.